UACGUAGGGUGCAAGCGUUGUCCGGAAUUAUUGGGCGUAAAGAGCUCGUAGGCGGUCUGUCACGUCGGCUGUGAAAACCCGAGGCUCAACCUCGGGCCUGCAGUCGAUACGGGCAGACUAGAGUUCGGUAGGGGAGACUGGAAUUCCUGGUGUAGCGGUGAAAUGCGCAGAUAUCAGGAGGAACACCGGUGGUGUAAACGGCUUUCUGGACCAUAACUGACGCUGAGGCACGAAAGCGUGGGUAGCAAACAGG
This 253-nucleotide ribosomal RNA is filed under the name uncultured bacterium. Its description in RNAcentral is "partial 16S ribosomal RNA". It matches the Rfam family "Bacterial small subunit ribosomal RNA", at positions 524 to 776 of the family's 1533-position model. The record is from RNAcentral.